This 254-nucleotide ribosomal RNA is filed under the name uncultured bacterium. RNAcentral's name for it is "partial 16S ribosomal RNA". It matches the Rfam family "Bacterial small subunit ribosomal RNA", at positions 524 to 776 of the family's 1533-position model. The record is from RNAcentral.
UACAUGGGGUGCAAACGUUGCUCGGAAUUAUUGGGCGUAAAGCGCACGUAGGCGGUUCGUUAAGUCGGAUGUGAAAGCCCUCGGCUCAACUGAGGAAGUGCACCCGAAACUGGCGAGCUUGAGUACGAAAAGAGGAUCGCGGAAUUCCCGGUGUAGAGGUGAAAUUCGUAGAUAUUCGCAAGAACACCAGUGGCGAAGGCGGCUCACUGGCCCGAUACUGACGCUGAGGCACGAAAGCGUGGGGAGCAAACAGG